AUCCAGUUGAUGAGUCCCGAAUAGGACGAAACGCGCGUCCUAGAU
This 45-nucleotide non-coding RNA is filed under the name Schistosoma mattheei. The record is from RNAcentral. Lineage: Eukaryota; Metazoa; Platyhelminthes; Trematoda; Strigeidida; Schistosomatidae.